GAACGUAUAGCUUAAUUGGUUAGAGCUCUUGGACAUGUAAUCCUAGCCUUGUUUGGAAUUCUACUCUGUUCUAUAUUUUUUAGGGAUUUUCCAAGAGGCACGGGUUCAAAUCCCGCUACGUUUU
This 124-nucleotide transfer RNA is filed under the name Heliconius melpomene (postman butterfly). RNAcentral's name for it is "tRNA HMEL002200". It matches the Rfam family "tRNA". Rfam says of the family: Transfer RNA (tRNA) molecules are approximately 80 nucleotides in length. Lineage: Eukaryota; Metazoa; Arthropoda; Insecta; Lepidoptera; Nymphalidae. The record is from RNAcentral.